Molecule: non-coding RNA, 880 nt
Organism: Malus domestica (apple)
Lineage: Eukaryota; Viridiplantae; Streptophyta; Magnoliopsida; Rosales; Rosaceae
Source: RefSeq, a predicted model, not a curated record
CGGAGGGACCAUAGGACCACAGUAGUCCUAGGCCCAUCCUGCUUUUGUUUAUAACUAAAAAUUAGUACUACUUAUUAUUUUAUUAUUUUCAGUUAAAUCAUUCAUAUUUCCUAGACAAACUAUCCGGCCCUUUUUAAAUAUUUUAAGAAUAUCCGGCCCUCUUUAAAUAACCCUAAAGCCUACCUAUAACCUAUUCCAACUUCCAACACUUCAUCUUCCAUUCAUUUUCCCAAUACUAAAAAUUAGUAUUUUAUUAUUCUCUAAUUCUAGCCGACUGUUGCUCUCUGCUAGUUUGAAAAAAUAGUCAUAACACUUGAAACACCCCUACCCUCUUUUAUAUUUUAAAAUUGUUUUAAAGCCUUAAUUGGUGAGCCCGUGGGGCCCACCUUGUUUAUUUUUUUUAUGUUUUCUGAUCUCUCUCUUCUUCUUCUUCGUUUCUCCCUCCCGUAGCUCUCUCCUUCUCAACACUGCUUCUCUCAGUCUGAUCCCUCCCGUGGUACACAAGCCGUACAGUGUAUCAAUCUAUCAAGAAUUAAAGAAUUCAAUUAUUCCAUCAUUCCAUAAAAAAGACAUUGAAGUUUAGUUAAUUGGUCAACAACCCAAAUUAUGGAAAGAUAUUUCAAAAGAAAAACACAACCUGAGAUAUUAGAACCGUCUCCAAAGAGUCCAAAGAACAAUGCAACGGUUUCAAAAUAUGAAAACUCGUCGAGGACAAUUAUUUUAAUUAUUGGGAAUAUGUAAUAUUAUCAAUGCUAUGUUAUUUUGAAUUUUGGUUACUUUUCAUAUACAUACUAUGAUGUUUUGGUUAACAGUUUUGUAACUACUAUCGAUUUAAUUUUUUUUAAUAUUUGUGAGAGGCCCCUCCUAAUCCGAAAUCCUG